GGCACGUCUCCCUCCCCGACCUGCCUUCAGGAUCUGGGGUGUCCUGGGUUGGAGGACCCACCUCUUCUGUUGCAACAGACUCUUGAGCAUUUGGCUGUUCCAUGGAUAAGCCAGAUGGAUGGCUUCAAGCAGCCAAAAAUGACAUGAGAAACAAGAUAUCAAAUAGCAACAUAACAGAGGUCAGUGUUGACUCCUGACAACAGCCUGGACAAGUCCCUGCAGUUGUCAUGAGGCAUGAUGGCAACCUUUGGGAUACUGAACGCUGCACUAGAGGAAUGUCGCUUUUAAGCUACCAGCAUAUUCCAGAAGAUUCAAAAGCUACAGAAAAUUAGUCCCAUCACUCUGCAAACUCUGCCAGCAAUUGGAAAGAUCCUCUCACAACUUUGCAAUUCCAACUCCAUCAA
This is a long non-coding RNA of Ahaetulla prasina, 404 nucleotides long. RefSeq lists it as uncharacterized. NCBI's taxonomy places the organism in Eukaryota, Metazoa, Chordata, Lepidosauria, Squamata, Colubridae. The transcript is spliced from 5 exons. The record is from RefSeq and is a predicted model, not a curated record.